RNAcentral lists this transfer RNA (79 nucleotides) under Rothia mucilaginosa ATCC 25296. Its description in RNAcentral is "tRNA-Pro". It matches the Rfam family "tRNA". From Rfam's summary of the family: Transfer RNA (tRNA) molecules are approximately 80 nucleotides in length. Their secondary structure includes four short double-helical elements and three loops (D, anti-codon, and T loops). The record is from RNAcentral. Lineage: Bacteria; Bacillati; Actinomycetota; Actinomycetes; Micrococcales; Micrococcaceae.
UCGGGAUGUGGCGCAGCUUGGUAGCGCGCGUCGUUCGGGACGACGAGGUCGCAGGUUCAAAUCCUGUCAUCCCGACAGA